AGCUUCGGCCAUCCGGCGAGGGAUGGGCCCGCGGUGCAUUAGCUAGUUGGUGGGGUAACGGCUCACCAAGGCAACGAUACAUAGCUGGUCUGAGAGGAUGAUCAGCCACACUGGGACUGAGACACGGCCCAGACUCCUACGGGAGGCAGCAGCCAGGAAUCUUGGGCAAUGGGCGAAAGCCUGACCCAGCAACACCGUGUGGGCGAUGAAGGCCUUAGGGUCGUAAAGCCCUGUUGAUAGGGACGAAGGGCGAAGGGUUAAUAGCCC
This 267-nucleotide ribosomal RNA is filed under the name uncultured Rubrobacter sp. RNAcentral's name for it is "partial 16S ribosomal RNA". It matches the Rfam family "Bacterial small subunit ribosomal RNA", at positions 202 to 468 of the family's 1533-position model. Lineage: Bacteria; Bacillati; Actinomycetota; Rubrobacteria; Rubrobacterales; Rubrobacteraceae. The record is from RNAcentral.